This 468-nucleotide ribosomal RNA is filed under the name uncultured bacterium. RNAcentral's name for it is "partial 16S ribosomal RNA". It matches the Rfam family "Bacterial small subunit ribosomal RNA", at positions 28 to 507 of the family's 1533-position model. The record is from RNAcentral.
GACGAACGCUGGCGGCGUGCUUAACACAUGCAAGUCGAACGGAAAGGCCCUGCUUUUGUGGGGUGCUCGAGUGGCGAACGGGUGAGUAACACGUGAGUAACCUGCACUUGACUUUGGGAUAACUUCAGGAAACUGGGGCUAAUACCGGAUAGGAGAUCUUGCUGCAUGGUGGGGGUUGGAAAGUUUCGGCGGUUGGGGAUGGUCUCGCGGCUUAUCAGCUUGUUGGUGGGGUAGUGGCUUACAAAGGCUUUGACGGGUAGCCGGCCUGAGAGGGUGGCCGGCCACAAUGGGACUGAGAUACGGCCCAGACUCCUACGGGAGGCAGCAGGGGAGAAUAUUGCACAAUGGGCGGAAGCCUGAUGCAGCAACGCCGCGUGCGGGAUGACGGCCUUCGGGUUGUAAACCGCUUUCGCCUGUGACGAAGCGUGAGUGACGGUAAUGGGUAAAGAAGCACCGGCUAACUACGUG